AAGUAUAUCCACAUCUUCCUCACUUCAUCAUCACCAUAUUCACGUUCUCCUUUCAUUGAAACACAGAAAUCUCCCACUCUCAAGAACUCUAAUCCCUAAUCGCCAUUUUUGCACUCUUCAUUUUACAGCGUCAACCGACGACGAUUCUCUCUCCUCCCAAUUCAUCCCCGAAUUUCACAUCCACCGUCAAUGAUUUCUCACAUCCACCGUCAAUGAUUUCUCACCCUCAAUCUUUCAACCAAACACAGACCAACAAUCUGUAACGCAAUCAAACCCACUUUAUCCUCCAACUGGCUUGUUUCCCAUGAUUUAUCUGCCAAAACCGCUUCUCCAUGGCUUCCCAACUUCGAAGAACUUGACACCACCAACAUGCUUCUCCGUCAAAGGAUUGUCUUUUUUGGGUUCUCAGGUGGAUGAUACGACAGCAGAUUUUGUAAUCAGUCAACUUUUGUUUUUGGAUGCUGAUGAUCCUAAGAAAGACAUCAAGUUGUUCAUAAAUUCACCUGGUGGUUCUGUUACUGCUGGAAUGUGAAUUUAUGAUGCCAUGAAGUUAUGCAAGGCAGAUGUGUCAACAGUUUGUCUCAGACUUGCAGCAUCCAUGGGUGCAUUUCUCCUUGCUGCUGGUACAAAAGGGAAGAGAUAUUGUAUGCCGAAUUCUAGAGUUAUGAUCCAUCAACCGAAAUCUGAUGAUGAUGACCUUUGCUAUUGAGGAGUUAGGGAUCAACAUCUUUCAGGUUAAAAUUGGAGAAUCAAAUUUAGAAUCCAUCAACUUGUUCAAAAAAUUGGGGUUUGUGGAAACUUCACAUAGCAACAUUUUCAAAGAGGUCGAUACAAACCGAUUCUGGUUCGGUCUCGUCAUAUGUAUAGUAUGAUUUUUCGGUGAAUGUUGUUCAUAGUAUUAGUCAUUUAGUACGCCAUCAAAAGUCAUUUGGAACGACGUCGGAACCAACUCAGAUUUGGUUAAUGUUGUCAUGAUUGAUGACAGAGCGGGGGACUAAUAAUCAGUUCACGCAAAGAAUUCGUAUGACUUUAAGGGGUCUAUCUUCUAGGGGUUUCAAUCAUAUCAUAGACGAUAUCAUAUUCCCGGAAAAAUCGAAGAGCGCCAUGGAUGUAAUUUCUAAUAAAAGUACUGAGCCUAAAACAUGAACGGACAGCGGCAAAGGCUAACGGCAACAUCACUGUUCUUUAGUUCUUUGCUUUUCUUCUUCGCUUUCUUCUUUUUCCGAUUUUGAUUAGCGAUCUCAAAUUGAGUCUUGUUGAUUGCGUGUUGUUGAUAGAAUUAGAAGUUGACUAUCGUGUUGUUGUUGAUGCAGAUGAAUGAAGAUGAGCGACGUGUAUUUCAUUGCAAAGAUGAUGAAGCUUCAAUGGCUCUGAGAUUGGUGCGAUAGAAUUGCGUUUAUCAAUCGAUGAAGAGAAAGAAUCAGCAGAGAUAGAGAGAGCUCUCUGUGUGAUUGAAGAACUGUGAAGAUGAACGAAAUGGAGAGUGAAUUGUGGAGGAGAAGAAGAAUGGUGGAGGAAAUGGUGGAGGAAAGAUGGUGUGGGAAAGUGGAGAAGAGAAUCCAGAGACCCUGUAAGUGAUGGAAGUGCUGACUUAUAUAGAUUCAAAAGGCAGAGACUUCAGGUUGGUUAUCCUUCUGAUUCUUUGUUUCAUGUUAGUUACAAUUCGGUUAGGGAUUAGUUAUGAAACUGUUAGAAGUUAGGGUGAAACUGAAUUGACAGUUAGUGGGUUGUUGGGUUAGGAUAGGUUAGUUGUGAGUCGUGACUGACUUACUACUACUGAUAAAUCAAAUGAAAGAUUCAGAUUAAUAAUUCAAAUCAAAUGUGUUUGUACUGAUCUGAAACUAAGUUUCUUCUGGUAGAAAUUAAUAAGUUUCUGUUAAAGUUGGUCCUGCACAUCCAAUGCUCUUAUUUGUAUUUAUUUAGGGUUUUUCUUUAUCAACAUGUUUGUUUUAGUCAAUUAAUUCACAAAUCUCAUUAACUCAUCUAUUAAUUUGUUUUUGUUAUCGUGAUUUUCCAUUCAAAUCUUUAUUUAUAAAAUAUUGGCAUGACAUAAUCACUAACUAAUUUUCAUGUAAGACUACCACAGUAAUAGCCAUAGGGACUUCUCUAUUUUUAUAAAAUAUCAUGUCAGAAUUCAAAUGUUUGACAAAAUAUUUUGGAUGAAGAAUUACUAUACUGACAAUUUUGUAUAUAAUCCGUAAACUGAGAGGCUAAAAUAAAAUAAAAAGCUUGGAUAGGGACACAACUGAAAGAUACUAGGACAGCAAAUUUUAUACAGCUAUCCUGGCGGAGCUAGCCUACAAUAUAUUGUUUCCUAGCUAUUCCUUGUUCUGAAGCAUAAAUGUUUGUUUGCUUGAUCAUUUAUUUCUAUCAUUCCCUCGUUCAAUCAUGGGUCUACCUCUUGGAUCCAAGAGUGCUCCUAUCAUAUUUGAUAUUACACAUGAUACUGUUUCACCCACUUUGUCUACUAACAUCUUGUUCGUUAAACAUAAGUGUCAGUCUUAUUGAUUUUUAUAGGAUACCUUCACUAAAAAUUCUGUUGUGAUGUGAUGCCCCGACUCGGCAAUUCGUAUUACUUGUGAGAAGUGCUACUGUUUGGAUAUUUUUAUUUUGUUUCAACAUUUCAUUCUUCGGAUAGAACUAUUGAUAUGAUUAGAGCUGAUGAUGUAAAGAUCAGCCGAUGAUGUUAUUUCUCCGAAAAAGAUCAGCCGAUGGUAACAUUGAAGAGGUUCUAUGUAUACCAUGUAUGUUGUUCAAGUACACACACAUCUUUUUUUGGUUUAUUUUGAUAAUGUGCAGGGAUAUAGUAUGGACUGAAAGAAUUUCGGUUAUGUACGAUGCGGGUUAUGAAUGUGGUUUUGGUAGCAAGUGUUCAAAAAAAUUGCUUAAGUUCAGUGAUGUUGCUAUAAGAGCAUAUAUAGUUUUCUGACAGUGAAAUCAAAGGGAAAUCAAAGGGCUUAUCGUGAUAAAAUUUAUUUCUGUUGUAUGUAGUUCUCGUUGGAUCUGUAAAAAAAAUGUGAUGAUUGCUAUUUGCUAUUCACUCUAAAUUGGAGUUCCCUCGAGCUCAAACAACAUAAUGAAAAACUCACAUGGAAAGUAGUAUAUAUGUUUGAAUAUUUGUAUCCAACUUCAGCAAGCUCUCAUGCAUUCACGUUAAUGCUCUUCAAGUGCCUAAUUGAUGAAGUUUUGGACAUUUUUACAGUGAAUAUUUAAUGAAAGAUAUUCUUUCAAAUGUAAGGAAGUAAAAGGGAUUUUACAGUGAAUAUUUAAUGAAAGAUAUUCUUUCAAAUGUAAGGAAGUAAAAGGGAUUUUGAUUGGCAUUUUUAAAAAUUGAUCUUAACGGGAUUCGAACUCACUCCAUCUAACUAAAUGCAUGUAUUGCUCGCCACCAGACUACUCAUGUUUUUUGUUAAAUGUUGGCAAAACAUAAGUAUAUAAUGAAUACUUUCUUUAGUAGCAAAUUGGCAUAUUUAAUGUAUAUAAUGAAUAUUUUAUAUAUUAAUAUUAAAUUUUAUUUAAAAUGUUAAAUAA
Molecule: long non-coding RNA, 3531 nt
Organism: Vicia villosa (hairy vetch)
Lineage: Eukaryota; Viridiplantae; Streptophyta; Magnoliopsida; Fabales; Fabaceae
Exons: 6
Source: RefSeq, a predicted model, not a curated record